Molecule: long non-coding RNA, 1797 nt
Organism: Scleropages formosus (Asian bonytongue)
Lineage: Eukaryota; Metazoa; Chordata; Actinopteri; Osteoglossiformes; Osteoglossidae
Source: Ensembl
AUGGCGAGUUCCUCUCAGAAGUUCACGUGGUGCCCCUGCCAUAAGCACAAGAUUCCCUCCAAGGACACCCACGAUCGCUGCUUGCACUGCCUGGGCAUCCAGCAUGCAAAAGAAGCCGUGCUGGAGUACGGCAAGUGCCCGCACUGCGCUGCCAUGGACUGGAGCACCUGCAUCAAUCGCCUCACCAAAGUACAGGAGGUGCUGCACCGGGAGAGCCAGCAAAGAAAGACAGAGGCUGCCCAAGCAGGUUCUAAGCUCGCGACAGCCCCGGCUCCCGUCAGCAUUCCAAAAGCCACAAUGGACUCGGUCCCUGUCCCACCCUUACCAACCGCUUUCGCUGCAACAUCAGCACAACCCUCUGUCCUCCCUGUGAUGCUAACCAUCCUCUCCCCCCCACCUGCUCAGGCAGAAUUGAACCCCAGCAUCACAAAAGGAGCGCUUUUGACUCCAUUGGCCGUUGAACAGUCCUGCGAUCCAAACCACACUCUGGGUCAGUCCAGUUCCCACACAGUGACCCAUCGGUCUAAGAGGAGGCAUUCCUCUGCAUGUUACUCACGGUGCUCCAAGUGCUCGAAACAUAGUCACCGGCACCAGUGUAGACGCUUUCAUACCUCUUCUUCCUACUCCUCAUCCGGUUCAUCCUGCUGGAGCUCUUCGAGCUCCCCCUGCACUUCUCCUCGGGAGAAGAGGUCACAGCGAGUAUCCCAUACCUCAGCCAAGGACAGGAAGCUUCUGGAGAUGGUGCAGCAGAAGCUAGACACCCAGUGGGCCUUGAUGGAGAAGCGCGUCGAGGCCUUGGAGAGGAGGGCGGCAGAGAUGUCUUCGGUGGUCCCCGCUGCAUCCUCCUCAGACCAGGCCUCACUUUCCGCAGCCGCUCCAGCAUCCACGUCCUCUCAAGAGGAGGAGCCGGAGGUGGAGCAUGUAGAUUGGUGUGGUCCACCCGAGGAUAGGCCAGCCGUCAGGAUCCCUCUGGUUGCCAUGGUGAAGAAGGAGGAGGAGCCUUCCCUCAUAAGAGCUGGCUGGAAAGCCGAGGAAGCCAGCGAGGGGGAAGACACCUCCCUUCUGCCUGAGGACUCUGUCUCUGGACAGGACAUACUGGUUGCUGCAGAGCUCCAGGGCCUCAUUUCCCGGGCAGCCAAAUACUUGGGCAUCAGUUUCCCCAACACACAGACAAGCUCCUCCUCUCCAGGUCCCAGCAUGGUGCCAGAGUUUGAGAACUUGGUUCAGAGCACAUGGUCCAACCCCGCGAGCUCCCGGCCCUUCAGGGAGCUGUUCUGCAAGAUGUACCGGCUGAACGAACGCCAGGCCCCAGCUUACGAUCGCAUGCCUCAGGUCAGCCGCUUCAUGUCCGCCAUCUUCCAGGCCGUGGAGCCAACGGAAAACGCAAUGGUGCCCCUACCAAGCAAGCACUGGAGGUUCACCGAGACCCAAGCGGAGAGGAUGUACCAGACAGCAGGCAUGUUGGUCAGGACAGCCAACUACCUGCGGUACUUGUCUGAGUACCAGCAGCGGCUGCUGGAGGAGGCAGCCGAGGACCGGCCAGCUCAGCGACUGACAGCCAUCCUAAAAGAGCUCCGGCUCAUAAGCCGGUUCUCCUUCCAGCUGUCCUCACACCAGGCAGAGCUCUCUGGCAGGGUCAUGGCCGGGUCUGUGGCCAUCCGGCGCCAGGUCUGGAUGGCCACGACCAACUACACAGACUCCCUUAAAGCCACCGUGGCAGACCUGCCCUACGUUGUCCGCCAGACUAUGGAAGCCAGCACAGGAACUACUUCUGGUUGCAAACAGGAAGUAUCAUGA